UUUCCGUAGGUGAACCUGCGGAAGGAUCAUUAUUGUAUAACCGAGGUGCGAGUGCUGUCGCUGACCCGAAAGGUCGUGCACGCCCGAGUGCCCUCACACACAUCCAUCUCACCCCUAUGUGCACCACCGCGUGGGUCCCCCUUUGGCUUGUUCGGAGGGGGGCUUACGUUUUCACACAAACUUUGUAUGCAGUGUAGAAUGUAUUUUUUGUGUUUGCGAUCACGCAAUCAAUACAACUUUCAACAACGGAUCUCUUGGCUCUC
This 263-nucleotide unclassified non-coding RNA is filed under the name plant metagenome. RNAcentral describes it as "partial contains small subunit ribosomal RNA, internal transcribed spacer 1, and 5.8S ribosomal RNA". The record is from RNAcentral.